GAUGAACGCUGGCGGCGUGCCUAAUACAUGCAAGUCGAGCGAACAGACGAGGAGCUUGCUCCUUCGACGUUAGCGGCGGACGGGUGAGUAACACGUAGGUAACCUACCUAUAAGACUGGGAUAACUUCGGGAAACCGGAGCUAAUACCGGAUAAUAUUCCGAACCGCAUGGUUCGAUAGUGAAAGAUGGCUUUGCUAUCACUUAUAGAUGGACCUGCGCCGUAUUAGCUAGUUGGUAAGGUAACGGCUUACCAAGGCAACGAUACGUAGCCGACCUGAGAGGGUGAUCGGCCACACUGGAACUGAGACACGGUCCAGACUCCUACGGGAGGCAGCAGUAGGGAAUCUUCCGCAAUGGGCGAAAGCCUGACGGAGCAACGCCGCGUGAGUGAUGAAGGUCUUCGGAUCGUAAAACUCUGUUAUUAGGGAAGAACAAACGUGUAAGUAACUGUGCACGUCUUGACGGUACCUAAUCAGAAAGCCACGGCUAACUACGUG
Molecule: ribosomal RNA, 497 nt
Filed under: uncultured bacterium
Lineage: Bacteria
Description: partial 16S ribosomal RNA
Rfam family: Bacterial small subunit ribosomal RNA
Source: RNAcentral